Molecule: ribosomal RNA, 418 nt
Filed under: uncultured bacterium
Lineage: Bacteria
Description: bacterial SSU rRNA
Rfam family: Bacterial small subunit ribosomal RNA
Source: RNAcentral
GCACGGUGAGUAACGCGUAUGCAACCUACCUAUCAGAGGGGAAUAACCCGGCGAAAGUCGGACUAAUACCGCAUAAAACAGGGGCACCGCAUGGUGAUAUUUGUUAAAGAGAUUCGCUGAUAGAUGGGCAUGCGUUCCAUUAGGUAGUUGGUGAGGUAACGGCUCACCAAGCCGACGAUGGAUAGGGAACUGAGAGGUUGGUCCCCCACACUGGUACUGAGACACGGACCAGACUCCUACGGGAGGCAGCAGUGAGGAAUAUUGGUCAAUGGGCGGGAGCCUGAACCAGCCAAGUCGCGUGAAGGAAGAAGGAUCUAUGGUUCGUAAACUUCUUUUGCAGGGGAAUAAAGUGCAGGACGUGUCCUGUUUUGUAUGUACCCUGAGAAUAAGGAUCGGCUAACUCCGUGCCAGCCGCCGC